AUGGCUCAGUAUUGAACGCUGGCGGCAUGCCUUACACAUGCAAGUCGAACGGUAACAGGUCUUCGGAUGCUGACGAGUGGCGAACGGGUGAGUAAUACAUCGGAACGUGCCCGAUCGUGGGGGAUAACGCAGCGAAAGCUGUGCUAAUACCGCAUACGAUCUACGGAUGAAAGCGGGGGGAUCGCAAGACCUCGCGCGGACGGAGCGGCCGAUGGCAGAUUAGGUAGUUGGUGGGAUAAAAGCUUACCAAGCCGACGGUCUGUAGCUGGUCUGAGAGGACGACCAGCCACACUGGGACUGAGACACGGCCCAGACUCCUACGGGAGGCAGCAGUGGGGAAUUUUGGACAAUGGGCGCAAGCCUGAUCCAGCCAUGCCGCGUGCAGGAUGAAGGCCUUCGGGUUGUAAACUGCUUUUGUACGGAACGAAAAAGCUCUCUCUAAUACAGGGGGUGAAUGACGGUACCGUAAGAAUAAGCACCGGCUAACUACGUG
This 493-nucleotide ribosomal RNA is filed under the name uncultured bacterium. RNAcentral describes it as "bacterial SSU rRNA". It matches the Rfam family "Bacterial small subunit ribosomal RNA", at positions 19 to 507 of the family's 1533-position model. The record is from RNAcentral.